Molecule: ribosomal RNA, 444 nt
Filed under: uncultured bacterium
Lineage: Bacteria
Description: partial 16S ribosomal RNA
Rfam family: Bacterial small subunit ribosomal RNA
Source: RNAcentral
CUACGGGUGGCAGCAGUGGGGAAUAUUGCACAAUGGGCGCAAGCCUGAUGCAGCAACGCCGCGUGAGGGAUGAAGGCCUUCGGGUUGUAAACCUCUUUUAGCAGGGAAGAAGCGAAAGUGACGGUACCUGCAGAAAAAGCACCGGCUAACUACGUGCCAGCAGCCGCGGUAAUACGUAGGGUGGAAGCGUUGUCCGGAAUUAUUGGGCGUAAAGAGCUCGUAGGCGGUUUGUCACGUCUGCUGUGAAAAUCCAAGGCUCAACCUUGGACUUGCAGUGGGUACGGGCAGGCUAGAGUGCGGUAGGGGAGAUGGGAAUUCCUGGUGUAGCGGUGGAAUGCGCAGAUAUCAGGAGGAACACCAAUGGCGAAGGCACAUCUCUGGGCCGUAACUGACGCUGAGGAGCGAAAGCGUGGGGAGCGAACAGGAUUAGAUACCCCAGUAGUC